RNAcentral lists this ribosomal RNA (425 nucleotides) under uncultured bacterium. Its description in RNAcentral is "partial 16S ribosomal RNA". It matches the Rfam family "Bacterial small subunit ribosomal RNA", at positions 354 to 796 of the family's 1533-position model. The record is from RNAcentral.
GUAGGGAAUCUUGCGCAAUGGGCGAAAGCCUGACGCAGCCAUGCCGCGUGAAUGAUGAAGGUCUUAGGAUUGUAAAAUUCUUUCACCGGGGACGAUAAUGACGGUACCCGGAGAAGAAGCCCCGGCUAACUUCGUGCCAGCAGCCGCGGUAAUACGAAGGGGGCUAGCGUUGCUCGGAAUUACUGGGCGUAAAGGGAGCGUAGGCGGAUAGUUUAGUCAGAGGUGAAAGCCCAGGGCUCAACCUUGGAAUUGCCUUUGAUACUGGCUAUCUUGAGUAUGGAAGAGGUAUGUGGAACUCCGAGUGUAGAGGUGAAAUUCGUAGAUAUUCGGAAGAACACCAGUGGCGAAGGCGACAUACUGGUCCAUUACUGACGCUGAGGCGCGAAAGCGUGGGGAGCAAACAGGAUUAGAAACCCGGGUAGUCC